GUCUAUGGCCACGCCACCCUGAACAAGCCCAAUCCCGUCUGAUCUCAGAAGCUAAGCAGGGUUGCGCCUGGUUAGUACUUGGUUGGGAGACCACCUAGGAAGACCAGGUGCUGUAGGCG
Molecule: ribosomal RNA, 119 nt
Filed under: Pteropus alecto (black flying fox)
Lineage: Eukaryota; Metazoa; Chordata; Mammalia; Chiroptera; Pteropodidae
Source: RNAcentral